RNAcentral lists this unclassified non-coding RNA (363 nucleotides) under fungal sp. RNAcentral describes it as "partial contains 5.8S ribosomal RNA, internal transcribed spacer 2, and large subunit ribosomal RNA". The stretch from base 1 to 105 matches the Rfam family "5.8S ribosomal RNA", at positions 50 to 154 of the family's 154-position model. Lineage: Eukaryota; Fungi. The record is from RNAcentral. RNAcentral also lists the same sequence under 2 other names.
GAAAUGCGAUAAGUAAUGUGAAUUGCAGAAUUCAGUGAAUCAUCGAAUCUUUGAACGCACCUUGCGCCCUUUGGUAUUCCGAAGGGCAUGCCUGUUUGAGUGUCAUUAAAUUAUCAACCUUGUUCGCUUUUACGAGCUUGAGCGAGGCUUGGAUGUGAGGGCUUGCUGGCUUCCUUCAGUGGAUGGUCUGCUCCCUUUAAAUGCAUUAGUGGGAUCUCUUGUGGACCGUCACUUGGUGUGAUAAUUAUCUAUGCCAUUUGACUGUGAAGCAAAAUUAUGGGAACCUGCUUAUAACCGUCUCGCAAGGGACAAUUUAAUUGACUAUUUGACCUCAAAUCAGGUAGGACUACCCGCUGAACUUAA